This 414-nucleotide long non-coding RNA is filed under the name Monodelphis domestica (gray short-tailed opossum). RNAcentral describes it as "lncRNA (ENSMODG00000041472.1)". Lineage: Eukaryota; Metazoa; Chordata; Mammalia; Didelphimorphia; Didelphidae. The record is from RNAcentral.
CUCUCAUUCAGAUGAGAAUAAGGUUCAAUUUCCCCCACUGCCCAUCCUUCAUCUUGACCUUGUAUUAGUGGGGGAAUUGAAGAAGGAACCAAAGUUCCAGCUACUUGGGGAAUAAAUAUAAAGUAACACUUCCUUCUUUCCUCCCCUUCCCCCAAGUUGGACUGUUAACAAAUGGAGUCAGUUUUGACUGGACUAAAAGGGUUGUGAAACCUGGAACUUGCAACAGCACUCUAAUGAGUUGCUGACCAGAGAUGAAUGUAAUGAUGAGAUUACCUGGGAGCAUAAAUUGGUACCUGAUGUUCUGGAGGUGAAGCCAAGCUGGUGGAGUAAUCCAGAGUAUCUCUGCGGCCCCAUGAGAAUCCUCUCUGACCAAGAUUAAAAUAUCACCAUGAAACAAAUAAAGGAGUAAAAGAA